Molecule: ribosomal RNA, 754 nt
Filed under: Geobacillus thermodenitrificans
Lineage: Bacteria; Bacillati; Bacillota; Bacilli; Caryophanales; Anoxybacillaceae
Description: bacterial SSU rRNA
Rfam family: Bacterial small subunit ribosomal RNA
Source: RNAcentral
UGGNUCAGGACGAACGCUGGCGGCGUGCCUAAUACAUGCAAGUCGAGCGGACCGAACGAGAGCUUGCUCUUGUUUGGUCAGCGGCGGACGGGUGAGUAACACGUGGGCAACCUGUCCGCAAGACCGGGAUAACUCCGGGAAACCGGAGCUAAUACCGGAUAACACCAAAGACCGCAUGGUCUUUGGUUCAAAGGCGGCUUCGGCUGUCACUUGCGGAUGGGCCCGCGGCGCAUUAGCUAGUUGGUGAGGUAACGGCUCCCCAAGGCGACGAUGCGUAGCCGGCUUGAGAGGGUGACCGACCCCCCUGGGACUGAGACCCGGCCCAGACUCCUACGGGAGGCAGCAGUAGGGAAUCUUCCGCAAUGGACGAAAGUCUGACGGAGCGCCGCCGCGUGAGCGAAGAAGGCCUUCGGGUCGUAAAGCUCUGUUGUGAGGGACGAAGGAGCACCGUUUGAAUAAGGCGGCGCGGUGACGGUACCUCACGAGAAAGCCCCGGCUAACUACGUGCCAGCAGCCGCGGUAAUACGUAGGGGGCGAGCGUUGUCCGGAAUUAUUGGGCGUAAAGCGCGCGCAGGCGGUCCUUUAAGUCUGAUGUGAAAGCCCACGGCUCAACCGUGGAGGGUCAUUGGAAACUGGGGGACUUGAGUGCAGGAGAGGAGAGCGGAAUUCCACGUGUNCCGGUGAAAUGCGUAGAGAUGUGGAGGAACACCAGUGGCGAAGGCGGCUCUCUGGCCUGUAACUGACGCUGAGNCGC